UGGGUAGGGGAGCUUCCCAUACGGGUUGAAGCAUGACCGUAAGGACAUGUGGACAGUAUGGGAGUGAGAAUGUUGGCAUGAGUAGCGAGAUGUGGGUGAGAAUCCCACAGGCCGUAAACCCAAGGUUUCCAGGGGAAGGUUCGUCCGCCCUGGGUUAGUCGGGACCUAAGCUGAGGCCGAAAGGCGUAGGUGAUGGACAACAGGUUGAUAUUCCUGUACUACCGAUAACCGUUUGAGAGAAGGGAUGACACAGUAGGAUAAGCUAAGCACACUGUUGGUUAUGUGUGCCCAAGCAUUGAGGCAGUCAAAGUAGGCAAAUCCGCUUUGAUAAUGCUGGGAUGUGAUGGGGAGCGAAAUUUAGUAGCGAA
This 368-nucleotide ribosomal RNA is filed under the name Clostridioides difficile. Its description in RNAcentral is "bacterial LSU rRNA". It matches the Rfam family "Bacterial large subunit ribosomal RNA", at positions 1225 to 1589 of the family's 2925-position model. The record is from RNAcentral. Lineage: Bacteria; Bacillati; Bacillota; Clostridia; Peptostreptococcales; Peptostreptococcaceae.